This is a long non-coding RNA of Erigeron canadensis, 775 nucleotides long. RefSeq lists it as uncharacterized. The record is from RefSeq and is a predicted model, not a curated record. NCBI's taxonomy places the organism in Eukaryota, Viridiplantae, Streptophyta, Magnoliopsida, Asterales, Asteraceae. The transcript has 3 exons.
UCAUCCAAUCAAAAUUCAUCUAAUUCUUUCAUUCUCCAAGAAAAUAUGUACAUGCGUUGCAUAUGUACAUACAUACACUUAUAAUACAAAUUUUAAACAAAAAUCCUUUCCUUUCCCUCACCAAGAGCCGUCCCCCCUCCUUUUUUCCAAUACAACUCCACCAAUCAAUGAUCAACUAGCUUUACUCUUCCAACACAUUAUCCCUUUACACCAUUUUUCACACACACUAAUUAUUCUAUUUUCUCACAACACAUUUCUCUCUCUCAAAAAAAAACUCCAUCUUUUCCCCUCUUCUUCUUGAUAUUUCGGCCAUCCAAAAAGGAAGGAGAAAACACAACCUAAAAUCAAUACAAACUUAUAUUAAUAAUAAGGGAUAGAUUAGAUUAAGCAAGGGUUACAUUAAGAUAUAGAUUAAGGGUUGUUCCAAGGUUUGAAUAAGGGUUAUUGGAGCUAUUUAGGCCACGAAAAAUCUGCAUCUUUUCUUCAUCAAAAAGUAUUCUUCAAGGGCCUGCUCGGGAAUCAACACCUCUUAGGCCAAGGAAAUCUAAUUUGAUCAGCCCCUAAACUCUUCAAUCAAGUUUAGAGCAGUAAAUAGCUUUAAGGACCGCCUCUUGGACGAUGUACUUGUUUGUUAUGAGAUGGCUUGUAAUGCAAACAAUUAUCUUUUGAUUUGGAUUUGGUUUAUGUAAUGGUAUUUUAAAACAUUGAUUUGAACUAUGUAACCUUAUGAUUUGGGAUGAUGUUUAAGACUUUAAUGAUGAUGUUUUCUAUUUAA